Molecule: long non-coding RNA, 248 nt
Filed under: Salvia miltiorrhiza (redroot sage)
Lineage: Eukaryota; Viridiplantae; Streptophyta; Magnoliopsida; Lamiales; Lamiaceae
Description: long non-coding RNA (SMIL_LNC001397)
Source: RNAcentral
UUUGUUUGUUUUUUUUUUUUUUAAACUUGUGUUGUUAUGCUGUUGUAGGUAUUCUGAAUCCAAUGGCUCGUACAAAGGGUAAAGGAAAGGUCGAUGGUAUAUUUUUUGUUCAUUUACAAUGCUCCUCCUAUUCGUAUUUGUUCUCUUACUACAUUAUAAUAACAUGUUAUGACAAAUUUGUGAAUUUGUAGAUGACACCUCACCCGUUAAAAAGACUAAAUGAGUAAUGCAAGGGUCGUCGUCUGAAC